CCAAGGGUUGGGCUGUUCGCCCAUUAAAGCGGUACGCGAGCUGGGUUCAGAACGUCGUGAGACAGUUCGGUCCCUAUCCGGCGUGGGCGUAGGAUAUUUGAGAGGAGCUGCCCUUAGUACGAGAGGACCGGGGUGGACUGGCCGCUGGUGGAUCUGUUGUAUUACCAAAUGCAUAGCAGAGUAGCCAAGCCGGGACGGGAUAAACGCUGAAGGCAUCUAAGCGUGAAGCCCCCCUCAAGAUGAGAUAUCCCAUAACGUCAAGUUAGUAAGACCCCUUGAAGACGACGAGGUAGAUAGGGCAGAGGUGGAAGUGCGGUAACGCAUGGAGCUGACUGUUACUAAUAGGUCGAGGGCAUAACCAAG
This 363-nucleotide ribosomal RNA is filed under the name Mediterraneibacter gnavus. RNAcentral's name for it is "partial 23S ribosomal RNA". It matches the Rfam family "Bacterial large subunit ribosomal RNA", at positions 2565 to 2925 of the family's 2925-position model. Lineage: Bacteria; Bacillati; Bacillota; Clostridia; Lachnospirales; Lachnospiraceae. The record is from RNAcentral.